RNAcentral lists this ribosomal RNA (391 nucleotides) under uncultured bacterium. RNAcentral describes it as "bacterial SSU rRNA". It matches the Rfam family "Bacterial small subunit ribosomal RNA", at positions 28 to 417 of the family's 1533-position model. The record is from RNAcentral.
GACGAACGCUGGCGGCGUGCUUAACACAUGCAAGUCGAGCGGUAAGGCCCUUUCGGGGGUACGACGAGCGGCGAACGGGUGAGUAACACGUGGGUGACCUGCCCUCAGCUCUGGGAGUAAGCCUGGGAAACCGGGGUCUAAUACUGGAUAUGACUCCAUGACGCAUGUUGUGGGGUGGAAAGCCUUGUGCGGCUGAGGAUGGGCCCGCGGCCUAUCAGCUUGUUGGUGGGGUGANGGCCUACCAAGGCGACGACGGGUAGCCGGCCUGAGAGGGCGACCGGCCACACUGGGACUGAGACACGGCCCAGACUCCUACGGGAGGCAGCAGUGGGGAAUCUUGCGCAAUGGGCGAAAGCCUGACGCAGCGACGCCGCGUGAGGGAUGACGGCCU